This 253-nucleotide ribosomal RNA is filed under the name uncultured bacterium. Its description in RNAcentral is "partial 16S ribosomal RNA". It matches the Rfam family "Bacterial small subunit ribosomal RNA", at positions 524 to 776 of the family's 1533-position model. The record is from RNAcentral.
UACAGAGGUUGCAAGCGUUAAUCGGAAUUACUGGGCGUAAAGCGCACGUAGGCGGUUUAAUAAGUCGGAUGUGAAAGCCCUGGGCUCAACCUAGGAAUUGCACUCGAUACUAUUAAGCUAGAGUGUGGUAGAGGAUGGCGGAAUUCCAGGUGUAGCGGUGAAAUGCGUAGAUAUCUGGAGGAACAUCAGUGGCGAAGGCGGCCAUCUGGACCAACACUGACGCUGAGGUGCGAAAGCGUGGGGAGCAAACAGG